Molecule: long non-coding RNA, 201 nt
Filed under: Mytilus galloprovincialis (Mediterranean mussel)
Lineage: Eukaryota; Metazoa; Mollusca; Bivalvia; Mytilida; Mytilidae
Source: RNAcentral
UUAAAUGUCUUUGGAGUCUUUUGUGUUGUGUGGUUGUUUUAUUGUAUUGUAUAACUUCAUCUAUCUUACAUGUUGAAGACAGCAGGAUGAUCAGUAAAGGGGAGGGGAUUGGAAAAGCUCCUUAAAGUUAAAGCACAUAAUUUUAAUUCAGUGAUUUUUUGGUUAAAACAUUUUUUUGGUACAAUUUUUUAUCUGAUUUUG